AGCCGCAUCCCUCUUUUCUAUCUCUCUCCCUCUCUCGAACUCUCUCGAUCUCUCUCUCUGUGCUUUCCUCUGCCAGCGUCGGAAAUGGUAGCUCCGGCCACCGUCUCACCCAAUCACCUCCACCAAUCGAUUCACCGCUUAAACUAAGCCAUACCCAACCCAAAUCAACAACCUGCAACUACCCCAAUGUCGGUUCUCAAUCCCUAGACAUCCACUUUUGGCGGAGAUCGAUGGAGGAGGAUGGUGACUGUCCUUCUCUGUUUUUCGGCGAGGGCUUGGGCUCCGGUCACCGAUCCACCUAGUGACGGUGAGACCCUUCCUCCUCUCUUCCUUCUGCACAGUCUAGUGCUUUAUUUCCUUCAAUUGAGACCUAACUCAGAAAUCCCCUUUUGUGUUUCUAGGUUUCUUGAGCUUCUUUUCCGGCGAUUGUGUUCUUCGUGUUCUGGUGGCGACCACGAGCUCCGACGAGUGUAGUUCAUCCUUGGCGAAGCCGGGACUUAGAGUUGGGAAGCUUUGAGGCAGCUGCUGUUAUGCAGCAUCGUGGCAGAGGGACUGCUUAUUGAUUUCAAGCAAGGAGAGGUUGCUGGGUUUGAGUGGUGUUCAGAUUGGAGGUAAGGAGUUUGAUUUGGUCGGCUGUGUUGUUGUUUGUGUUGCGGUUAUUUAGUUGGAUUGUGACUGAAAUCAUUGUUGUGGUUGAUACUUGUCGAUAACUUGGUGAUAGGAGUUUAUGGGGAGGCUAUGGCGAAAUUUCGGCAAGUCACUGGAAUCCGACGAGUAUUCGGGAUUCCGGCGAGGCAACAAUUCCGACAGAAUCCGUAAAGUUAAACAUUUGUGGUCUCAAGACAAGUCCAACGACAAGUAAUUGUCGUUGAACUCUAGAUGAUAUAGCGCCUAGUAGUUUGACAAUAUGAGACGACAUAUAGUUGUCAUUAGAAGUCUCAUGGUACAACAUAUCUUUGUUUUAUUUGUCGUUGAACGUUAUAUCAGUCGACACUUAUCUAUAGUAUGAAUAAAUAUAAGAGGACGUAAACAUCAUUAAUUUCUUCCUUAUUCUGGCUUCAGUCGACAUUUAUAUGUUGUAUGUAAUCCAUUAACACGACAUAUUUUUCUGAAACCUUCCAGAUUCAGCUUCUUCCAGACGAUAUAAGAUAUGUCGUCUGAACAGAUAUCAGACGACGGUGGAAAACUGUUAUCUGAGGUCAAUCACACGACACAGCCUCAGAUGACAUAAAAAAAACUGUUAGACGACAGACCUGGACUGUCGUCUGAUGAAUAUUUUGACAUAGUGAUGGUACCACUUUGAGGAUCACGCCAACCAUGUUGGUAGCAUCAACCAAGACUUGCAGCAACUCAUUGCUCUCUUCAUUAGUCC
This 1372-nucleotide long non-coding RNA is filed under the name Fragaria vesca (wild strawberry). RNAcentral describes it as "long non-coding RNA (FVES_LNC003189)". The record is from RNAcentral. Lineage: Eukaryota; Viridiplantae; Streptophyta; Magnoliopsida; Rosales; Rosaceae.